CAAGAGCGUAUGUAAAAGUUGUUGCAGUUAAAAAGCUCGUAGUUGAACCUUGGGUUUGGUUGGCCGGUCCGCUUUUUUGCGAGUACUGGAUUCAACCGAGCCUUUCCUUCUGGCUAACCAGUCGUUUCGGCGGCUGGCGAACCAGGAUUUUUACUUUGAGAAAAUUAGAGUGUUCAAAGCAGGCAUUAGCUUGAAUAUAUUAGCAUGGAAUAAUAGAAUAGGACGUUAUGGUUCUAUUUUGUUGGUUUCUAGGACCAUCGUAAUGAUUAAUAGGGACGGUCGGGGGCAUCAGUAUUCAGUUGUCAGAGGUGAAAUUCUUGGAUUUACUGAAGACUAACUACUGCGAAAGCAUUUGCCAAGGACUUUUUCAUUAA
Molecule: ribosomal RNA, 374 nt
Filed under: uncultured eukaryote
Lineage: Eukaryota
Description: partial 18S ribosomal RNA
Rfam family: Eukaryotic small subunit ribosomal RNA
Source: RNAcentral